This 439-nucleotide ribosomal RNA is filed under the name uncultured bacterium. Its description in RNAcentral is "bacterial SSU rRNA". It matches the Rfam family "Bacterial small subunit ribosomal RNA", at positions 340 to 774 of the family's 1533-position model. The record is from RNAcentral.
UACGGGAGGCAGCAGGGGGAAUAUUGCACAAUGGGCGCAAGCCUGAUGCAGCCAUGCCGCGUGUAUGAAGAAGGCCUUCGGGUUGUAAAGUACUUUCAGUCGUGAGGAAGGUGUUAAGGUUAAUAACCUUAGCAAUUGACGUUAGCGACAGAAGAAGCACCGGCUAACUCCGUGCCAGCAGCCGCGGUAAUACGGAGGGUGCGAGCGUUAAUCGGAAUUACUGGGCGUAAAGGGCACGCAGGCGGUUAAUUAAGUUGGAUGUGAAUCCCCGGGCUUAACCUGGGAAUGGCAUUCAAGACUGGUUAGCUAGAGUCUUGUAGAGGGGGUAGAAUUCCAUGUGUAGCGGUGAAAUGCGUAGAGAUGUGGAGGAAUACCGGUGGCGAAGGCGGCCCCGUGGACAAAGACUGACGCUCAUGUGCGAAAGCGUGGGGAGCGAAAC